UCAAGCUAAUAAGAGCACAGGGUGGAUGCCCAGGCACCAUACGCCGAAGAAGGACGCGGUCAGCUGCGAUAAGCCUCGAGGAGCCGCAAGCAGGCAUUGAUUCGAGGAUUUCCGAAUGGGGAAACCCGGCGGGAGUAAUGUCCCGUCAUCCAUGACUGAAUCAAAUCGGUCAUGAGAAGGGCACGCGGGGAACUGAAACAUCUAAGUACCCGCAGGAAAAGAAAAUAACAAUGAUUCCGCCAGUAGUGGCGAGCGAACGCGGAACAGCCCAAACCACUCGUGUUACGGCACGGGUGGGGUAGAAGGAUCCACGAUACGGCAAGAAAUAAGUUAGCAGAAUACGAUGGAAAUCGUAGCCAAAGACGGUGACAGCCCGGUACGCGAAAACCGACAGAAGCCCAGUGGACACCUGAGUAACCCAGGACACGAGAAAUCCGGGGCGAAUCAGCGGGGCCCAUCCCGUAAGGCUAAAUACUCCCGAGAGACCGAUAGCGAACCAGUACUGUGAAGGAAAGGUGAAAAGCACCUCGAACAGAGGAGUGAAAUAGUCCCUGAAACCGUCUGCCUACAAGCGGUCGGAGCAACGUAAGUUGUGACGGCGUGCCUUUUGCAUAAUGAACCUACGAGUUACUUUCUCCGGCAAGGUUAAGGGCUUCAGGCCCGGAGCCGAAGCGAAAGCGAGUCUUAAUAGGGCGUGAUAGUCGGAGUGAGUAGACGCGAAACCAAGUGAUCUACCCUUGGUCAGGAUGAAGGUUGGGUAACACCAACUGGAGGUCCGAAUGGGUAUACGUUGAAAAGUGUUCCAAUGAACUGAGGGUAGGGGUGAAAGGCUAAUCAAACUUGGAGAUAGCUCGUACUCCCCGAAAUGCAUUUAGGUGCAGCCUUUAUUUAGUAUAGCAUGAGGUAGAGCGACUGAUUGGAUGCGAGGGCUUCACCGCCUAUCAAGUCCAGAUAAACUCCGAAUGCGUGCUAUAUAUUGAUAAGGAGUGAGGGCGCGGGUGCUAAGGUCCGCGUCCGAGAGGAGAAGAAUCCAGACCAUCAGCUAAGGUCCCCAAAUAACAGUUAAGUUGAACUAACGAAGUCGGACUGCAGAGACAGCUAGGAUGUUGGCUUGGAAGCAGCCAUUCAUUUAAAGAGUGCGUAACAGCUCACUAGUCGAGGAGUCCGGCGUGGAUAAUACUCGGGCAUAAACUGUUUACCGAAGCUAUGGAUGUAGAAAUACAUGGUAGGGGAGCAUUCCAACGGCGUCGAAGGUGAAGGAUGACCUUUGCUGGAGCUUUUGGAAACGCAAAUGUAGGUAUAAGUAACGAUAAAGGAGGUGAGAAACCUCCUCGCCGAAAGACUAAGGUUUCCUGAUCAACGUUAAUCGGAUCAGGGUAAGUCGGGACCUAAGGUUAAGCCGAACGGCGAUACCGAUGGAAGAAUGGUUUAAUAUUCCCAUACUACUUUAUGGAGCGAUGUGGAGACGGAGAAGUGAAAGUCCUGCCAUCUGACGGAAUAGGUGGUUGAAGAGUGUAGAUGUAGAUUCCUGUAGGCAAAUCCGCAGGGAGAGUCGACCUUGAUAGUAUGCCGCGUGCUUGCACAAGGCAAAAUGGAUGUAAUCAGGCUCCCAAGAAAAUCCGCUAAGCAUAUUCAUAAAGUACCCGUACCGUAAACGGACACACGUAGUUGGGUUGAAAAUACUGAGGCGCUCGAGUGAUUCACGGUUAAGGAACUAGGCAAAUUGACCCUGUAACUUCGGGAUAAAGGGUCCCUACUGAGAGGUAGGGCGCAGAGAAUAGGUCCAGGCAACUGUUUAACAAAAACACAUGGCUGUGCGAAAUAGAAAUAUGAAGUAUACAGCCUGACACCUGCCCGGUGCUGGAAGGUUAAGAGGAGAGCUCAUCGCAAGAGAAGGCUUGAAUUGAAGCCCCAGUAAACGGCGGCCGUAACUAUAACGGUCCUAAGGUAGCGAAAUUCCUUGUCGGGUAAGUUC
Molecule: ribosomal RNA, 1975 nt
Filed under: human gut metagenome
Description: bacterial LSU rRNA
Rfam family: Bacterial large subunit ribosomal RNA
Source: RNAcentral